This is a long non-coding RNA of Alligator mississippiensis (American alligator), 1583 nucleotides long. RefSeq lists it as uncharacterized. NCBI's taxonomy places the organism in Eukaryota, Metazoa, Chordata, Crocodylia, Alligatoridae. The record is from RefSeq and is a predicted model, not a curated record. The transcript is spliced from 5 exons.
AUAUGUCUUUACAGAACACUUUGUCCUUCCUUCUUAUGAAAGAACAUCACCAUGCAUGGCAGAAGUUGUUGCAACUAUCUACAAGCCGGCUUGGAAAACAGAAAGAAAGGGGGCAACCACUGAAAGGAGUGACUACCCACCCAUCAAGAGCUGGCAAUUCGCUGCUAUUAACCGUGACCGUGAUUCCCAAUCUGCCUGGCAGUUCUUAAGAACAGGACUGCAAUGUCUCAUAUGCAGUAAAAGCGGUUAUAUGCACCCUGGCCUCCAACACUAUACCUGAUGAAUGUACAUUUCUUUGCAACUUUAAUGGAUUUAGCACAAUUAUUCACAGGAAGAAGAUAUCAUCUGCAUAAGACUCUUUCAUUCAGAAUCCUUUACCUAUGGUCUCCAAGGGACUGGGAUGCUUGAUCGUGAAAGGGAAGAAGAAAGUAAAUCGGACAACACCAAGAGGAUAUGAGUCUGAGGAACCUAUGCAUCAUCCUUCCUCUGACUCCAUGAAUAAUAGAGUCAAAGAAUGUGAAGAUGAAACUCUCCUUUUAGAAGAGGGAUUAAUCAGAGAUUCAGAAAGAAGGCAUCAUAUCUGCGUUUAGAAACUGGAUUUCAUCACUGUAGUUCUGAAGUAUUUCAUUACCUCAGGAGACGUGUGUCUUACAGGGAACUCAUUGUUUAAAUAUUUGUCUCUCUGAAGCCUCUCUGUUCCUUCCCACAGUGGUCUGAACUUCAAUUCUUCUUCUUGGACAGGGGUCAGAAACCUGUGUCCUGCUGGACUGCAGCAGUGUAGGGUACAGCUUAGCACCUAGGGCAAAGUGGCAGCAGUGACUUCUAGUUUGAAAUUGCAAAUGUGUGGCUGCUGGCAGCAGCUGUUUUUUUAACACCCUGCCCCUGAAUCGGAAGUCAGCACCCCAGGGCUGUUGCCCCUAUCAUCCGCCCCAACUAUACCAUUGCUGAGCUGGAUCCAACCCACAAAGAGACAGAAUUUGGCCCGUGAAGGUCCAACCCAUCUUGGGGCAACACAAGAGAUUGGGCAGAGCUGUGCCAAACUGUGAGCCCUCCUCCCCCCUACCUCACAAAUAAUCCUGCUGUUCUUUCAGGCCUGUGCUUACCCUCACAGCAGAGGGAUCAGGGAUUUGCAGUGAGAUUAAGCGUGGGCAAUUUGGGUACCACGUACAAUGUACAAAUAUUAAUUCAGGCACAUUAAGGCCUAUGGGCUUGGCUUGGAACCACAGUGAAGACAGAUGCCAAAGUAAAGAUUAAUAAGUACUGAAGAUUUUAAAGACAUGAUUUUCAGCUGGGUCUCCAUUUUUUGGCUGUAGUAACUAUACCCAUAUUUUCUCACUUUCAAGGAAUUGUGGGUAUACAUUUUAGUCUGAAAUUUAACUACUUAUUUUAUGAUCACAAAAGGGCUGUUGGAUGCCUGAUGACUAGCAUAUAUAGCUGCAAUUUAAUGCAACCCCCUCCACUCACACAGGCUGCAAAAAUUAAGAUCUGGUUGAGGUCCACUGAAAUCUUUAAGACAGAGAGAUGUCUGGAAUGUAAUUAUCUUGUGGCAAAUUUGUAGAUAAAUAAAUACAAUAUGAAAAUUA